RNAcentral lists this transfer RNA (76 nucleotides) under Poseidonibacter parvus. RNAcentral's name for it is "Arcobacter sp. LPB0137 tRNA-Cys". It matches the Rfam family "tRNA". From Rfam's summary of the family: Transfer RNA (tRNA) molecules are approximately 80 nucleotides in length. Their secondary structure includes four short double-helical elements and three loops (D, anti-codon, and T loops). Further hydrogen bonds mediate the characteristic L-shaped molecular structure. tRNAs have two regions of fundamental functional importance: the anti-codon, which is responsible for specific mRNA codon recognition, and the 3' end, to which the tRNAs corresponding amino acid is attached (by aminoacyl-tRNA synthetases). tRNAs cope with the degeneracy of the genetic code in two manners: having more than one tRNA (with a specific anti-codon) for a particular amino acid; and 'wobble' base-pairing, i.e. permitting non-standard base-pairing at the 3rd anti-codon position. RNAcentral also lists the same sequence under 15 other names. Lineage: Bacteria; Pseudomonadati; Campylobacterota; Epsilonproteobacteria; Campylobacterales; Arcobacteraceae. The record is from RNAcentral.
GGAGCUAUAGCAAAGCUGGUAAUGCCCCGGAUUGCAAAUCCGGUAUGCGUUGGUUCGAGUCCGACUAGCUCCUCCA